GUCCAGCUGAUAAGUCCUAAAUGGGACGAAACGUGCGUCCUGGAU
This 45-nucleotide non-coding RNA is filed under the name Schistosoma curassoni. Lineage: Eukaryota; Metazoa; Platyhelminthes; Trematoda; Strigeidida; Schistosomatidae. The record is from RNAcentral.